RNAcentral lists this ribosomal RNA (301 nucleotides) under uncultured bacterium. RNAcentral describes it as "partial 16S ribosomal RNA". It matches the Rfam family "Bacterial small subunit ribosomal RNA", at positions 509 to 807 of the family's 1533-position model. The record is from RNAcentral.
CAGCCGCCGCGGUAAUACAGAGGGUGCGAGCGUUAAUCGGAUUUACUGGGCGUAAAGCGUGCGUAGGCGGCUUCUUAAGUCGGAUGUGAAAUCCCUGAGCUUAACUUAGGAAUUGCAUUCGAUACUGGGAAGCUAGAGUAUGGGAGAGGAUGGUAGAAUUCCAGGUGUAGCGGUGAAACGCGUAGAGAUCUGGAGGAAUACCGAUGGCGAAGGCAGCCAUCUGGCCUAAUACUGACGCUGAGGUACGAAAGCAUGGGGAGCAAACAGGAUUAGAUACCCCUGUAGUCCCUGUCUCUUAUAC